RNAcentral lists this ribosomal RNA (521 nucleotides) under uncultured bacterium. Its description in RNAcentral is "bacterial SSU rRNA". It matches the Rfam family "Archaeal small subunit ribosomal RNA", at positions 345 to 866 of the family's 1478-position model. The record is from RNAcentral.
AACCUCCGCAAUGUACGAAAGUGCGACGGGGGGAUCCCAAGUGUUAUGCUUUUUUGUAUAACUUUUCAUUAGUGUAAAAAGCUUUUAGAAUAAGAGCUGGGCAAGACCGGUGCCAGCCGCCGCGGUAACACCGGCAGCUCGAGUGGUAGCUGUUUUUAUUGGGCCUAAAGCGUUCGUAGCCGGUUUGAUAAGUCUUUGGUGAAAGCUUGUAGCUUAACUAUAAGAAUUGCUGGAGAUACUAUCAGACUUGAAGUCGGGAGAGGUUAGAGGUACUACCGGGGUAGGGGUGAAAUCCUAUAAUCCUGGGAGGACCACCUGUGGCGAAGGCGUCUAACUGGAACGAUCUUGACGGUGAGUAACGAAAGCCAGGGGCGCGAACCGGAUUAGAUACCCGGGUAGUCCUGGCCGUAAACGAUGUGGACUUGGUGUUGGAAUGGCUUUGAGUUGUUCCGGUGCCGAAGGGAAGCUGUUAAGUCCACCGCCUGGGAAGUACGGUCGCAAGACCGAAACUUAAAGGAAUU